UCUUCCGUAGUAUAGUGGUCAGUAUAUGAGCUUGUCAUCCUUCAGAUUUCGCUCGGGACCCGGGUUCAAUUCCCGGCGGGAGAG
Molecule: transfer RNA, 84 nt
Filed under: Lasiosphaeris hirsuta
Lineage: Eukaryota; Fungi; Ascomycota; Sordariomycetes; Sordariales; Lasiosphaeriaceae
Rfam family: tRNA
About the family: Transfer RNA (tRNA) molecules are approximately 80 nucleotides in length. Their secondary structure includes four short double-helical elements and three loops (D, anti-codon, and T loops).
Source: Rfam by way of RNAcentral